CACACUAUCAUUAACUGAAUCCAUAGGUUAAUGAGGCGAACCGGGGGAACUGAAACAUCUAAGUACCCCGAGGAAAAGAAAUCAACCGAGAUUCCCCCAGUAGCGGCGAGCGAACGGGGAGGAGCCCAGAGCCUGAAUCAGUGUGUGUGUUAGUGGAAGCGUCUGGAAAGGCGCGCGAUACAGGGUGACAGCCCCGUACACAAAAAUGCACAUGCUGUGAGCUCGAUGAGUAGGGCGGGACACGUGGUAUCCUGUCUGAAUAUGGGGGGACCAUCCUCCAAGGCUAAAUACUCCUGACUGACCGAUAGUGAACCAGUACCGUGAGGGAAAGGCGAAAAGAACCCCGGCGAGGGGAGUGAAAAAGAACCUGAAACCGUGUACGUACAAGCAGUGGGAGC
This 398-nucleotide ribosomal RNA is filed under the name Escherichia coli. RNAcentral's name for it is "bacterial LSU rRNA". It matches the Rfam family "Bacterial large subunit ribosomal RNA", at positions 144 to 580 of the family's 2925-position model. The record is from RNAcentral. Lineage: Bacteria; Pseudomonadati; Pseudomonadota; Gammaproteobacteria; Enterobacterales; Enterobacteriaceae.